GGUUUGUAGCUCAGUGGUUGAGCUCUUGCCUUGCAUGCAUGAGGCACUGGGUUCAAUUCUCAGCACCA
This 68-nucleotide transfer RNA is filed under the name Marmota monax (woodchuck). Its description in RNAcentral is "tRNA.Ala". The stretch from base 5 to 65 matches the Rfam family "tRNA", at positions 6 to 65 of the family's 71-position model. From Rfam's summary of the family: Transfer RNA (tRNA) molecules are approximately 80 nucleotides in length. The record is from RNAcentral. Lineage: Eukaryota; Metazoa; Chordata; Mammalia; Rodentia; Sciuridae.